CCAUGGGUGGAAUGUCAAUUAUAACCGUGUCACAAUUAUAACUGUCUCAAAGGAAGAAGAAAGAUGUCUACCCCUUUUUGUAUAGUUUAUUUGCCUUCAAAUCUAGCAAUCUAUUUCUUUGGAGGAAAAAAAAAUAGUUAUUUGGAUGAUGUAUUAACUUUGAGCUUUAAGACACUUAUUUGGCCGGAUUCCUUCCCCAGAAAACAAAGUCAA
This 213-nucleotide long non-coding RNA is filed under the name Elaeis guineensis (African oil palm). Its description in RNAcentral is "long non-coding RNA (EGUI_LNC042315)". Lineage: Eukaryota; Viridiplantae; Streptophyta; Magnoliopsida; Arecales; Arecaceae. The record is from RNAcentral.